CCUCUUCUCAACUCCUCCUAUACUAUUGUGUGUCCCACCCUUAUCAAAGAAGGCUAUCUUUGGCUAAUUCAUCUUAAAAAUUUGGUAGAACAAGGUAGAGAAUAAGUGUAUAUCACCCAUUCUUCAUAUGUAUGCCUGGGUAAUUUUGAAGGAUAUCAUCUCCAGACACUCUGUGCAAAGAACAGAGGCAAGCCUCCAGCCAGGAGCUCAUGAAAUCAUGAACUGAGGCCUCAGUGCAAUAGCUCAUGAGGAAAUGAAUUAUUUCAACAGCCAGUUCUGGAAGUUGGAAGUACAAGAUCAGAUUGCCAGCAUCAUCAGAUUUGAUAUCAAAGUAAUGUCAAGUGCUUCUGACCCACUGCAUUAAACGUGUGCUGAGCAGUUGGUGGUAGAAGACAUUAUUGUGAAGGCUGCUCACCACCAAUUUCAUCACUGUUGCUAACUCCAGCUCAUCUAAUCUCUGCAACAUCUGCUACCAGCACCUUCUCUUGCCUCCUUUUGUGAACAUAGUUUUUUCUUCUGGUUAGAAAAUCAGUUCGAACUUCUUGAGUUUUGUGUUUUAAACUCUUCUCAACUGUUCCGAUGAUUGAUGGAUGGCCCAGAGGCGACCUCUUUAUCUCCAGCAACAUAUUUGGCUGUUGGCCCGGUAGAGAGGUACUCCAGAAGCUUGCUGGUUCAUCAUGCUCUCAUCUUUAACCACAACUAUUUAUCUGACUCCUUCCAUCUCCACAGCACUGUGUGAGGGAUCAGUGAUAAGAGACGGUGAAAGACAUGCGCAAAUGGAUAAAUAAUAAGCAGGAUAUGUAGAAUGACACAACAAUUGAUGAGUAAUUUAGGAGAUCCAAUAACUAAAAAAAAAAAGACUGGGGACAAGUUCAUGGAAAGAGUAAUCAACUAAGCCUUAUAACAUAAAAUUGACAAAUAGAGAAGGCAUGCAAUCCAGUAGAAUAGAGUGCAAAAGAGGUAGAAGACUAAUCGUUUCAAGACAUGUUGAGCCACAACAGCAAUAACAUUGUGACAAAAAACGUCGGUGUAGACUGCAGAAGAUCUUCAAUGACGGAUCAAGCUGUAUAGACUUUUUUUUACCCUCAUAUACUGAAUAGUCAUUUAAGGUAUACAGUGCCAACGUAAGAGAGAAAGGUAAACUUUUUUUAACACAAGUUGUAGGCCUUGGAAAGAAGUUUUCCAGUAACAAGAUAACACGAUAAUGUACUGUGGUUAUAAGCUCAAAGUGGUAUAUUUGAUUCAGUGUUCCCAGAACCACCAAAACCUUGGAACCAUUGUUUAGCUAAAGCUACUAGAACAACAGAAUAACCUACUCUGUGGCAUUGUAAAGUAAAAUUAUACUACACACAAAUACUUGACAUAAAAUACAUUUCCAAACUCAAUUAUUAGGGAUAACAUAAGCACAAAAUGAUGCUUUGCAAACAUCAUGUAUCCUAUAACUGGAGAAAAAAAAUUAAUGACAUGAAGUGAAAUGACUGAGUUCUGAAGCUACAUCUCAAUUUAAAUAGCAUAAGCAAUUUAGUAUACAACAUUCUUCAAAAUCAAUUGUUGAAGGUUAACUAUAAUCUACAUACAAAAACAACUUUGUCAACUUUUUGUACGGAUUUUCCUUCUAAACAUAUUUACUUUAUGUGUAAAAUCAAAAAAUUUCCUGAGUUAAAGGCUAAGACUUGACUUUAUGAAUACAUGCCCAAAAAUUGGUGGUGGCUGGUUUCUGUUUUUAUUUUGUAAGCUUAGUAUAAUGGUUGUCCAGAACUUGUAAGCAAUGACCUCAUUUCUAAGCGGACAAGAUGCAAAAGACCAUUUUUACAGAUUAACCAUCUGGUUCCUUUAGGAAGAGUAAUAUUUCAACAGGUUCCUGUAUUUCAAGAAUAUAAAUAAUUAAAAAGAUGAAGAUAUGUGAAAUACACAAAGAAAAAAAUAGAGAAAAUAGCAUUUAAAGCAAAUUAUCCUAGCUCCCUCAAUUAAUAUUUUAAAACCAUGACAAUCAGUUAUUAAUAUAAAUUGUUAAUUUUAUUUAAUACAACAUCAAUAUAAUUCAUACCAUCUUCUUCAACUAGGUGGUCUAUCAUUUUGGAGUUUCUUUCCACCUCUGGAGAAUUGCUCAGGAAAUCUGGCUAACAUACCAAAUAAAUCAAAUGGAUUUAAUGAGAUGGUUUUUGGCUAGUUUCUAUAUUCUUGUAUACACAUGCAUGUAACACAUAAAUGUGGUGCUGUUCACAGUUAGAGGCGCAAGAGAAAAAAGUAGC
RNAcentral lists this long non-coding RNA (2252 nucleotides) under Homo sapiens (human). RNAcentral's name for it is "HSALNT0339341". The record is from RNAcentral. Lineage: Eukaryota; Metazoa; Chordata; Mammalia; Primates; Hominidae.